RNAcentral lists this ribosomal RNA (492 nucleotides) under uncultured bacterium. RNAcentral's name for it is "partial 16S ribosomal RNA". It matches the Rfam family "Bacterial small subunit ribosomal RNA", at positions 29 to 507 of the family's 1533-position model. The record is from RNAcentral.
AGUGAACGCUGGCGGUAGGCCUAACACAUGCAAGUCGAACGGCAGCACAGUAAGAGCUUGCUCUUACGGGUGGCGAGUUGCGGACGGGUGAGGAAUACAUCGGAAUCUACUUUUUCGUGGGGGAUAACGUAGGGAAACUUACGCUAAUACCGCAUACGACCUACGGGUGAAAGCAGGGGAUCUUCGGACCUUGCGCGAUUGAAUGAGCCGAUGUCGGAUUAGCUAGUUGGCGGGGUAAAGGCCCACCAAGGCGACGAUCCGUAGCUGGUCUGAGAGGAUGAUCAGCCACACUGGAACUGAGACACGGUCCAGACUCCUACGGGAGGCAGCAGUGGGGAAUAUUGGACAAUGGGCGCAAGCCUGAUCCAGCCAUACCGCGUGGGUGAAGAAGGCCUUCGGGUUGUAAAGCCCUUUUGUUGGGAAAGAAAAGCAGCAGGUUAAUAACCCGCUGUUCUGACGGUACCCAAAGAAUAAGCACCGGCUAACUUCGUG